Molecule: ribosomal RNA, 1343 nt
Filed under: uncultured bacterium
Lineage: Bacteria
Description: 16S ribosomal RNA
Rfam family: Bacterial small subunit ribosomal RNA
Source: RNAcentral
GACGAACGCUGGCGGCGUGCUUAACACAUGCAAGUCGAACGGAAAGGCCCUGCUUUUGUGGGGUGCUCGAGUGGCGAACGGGUGAGUAACACGUGAGUAACCUGCCCUUGACUUUGGGAUAACUUCAGGAAACUGGGGCUAAUACCGGAUAGGAGCUCCUGCUGCAUGGUGGGGGUUGGAAAGUUUCGGCGGUUGGGGAUGGACUCGCGGCUUAUCAGCUUGUUGGUGGGGUAGUGGCUUACCAAGGCUUUGACGGGUAGCCGGCCUGAGAGGGUGACCGGCCACAUUGGGACUGAGAUACGGCCCAGACUCCUACGGGAGGCAGCAGUGGGGAAUAUUGCACAAUGGGCGGAAGCCUGAUGCAGCAACGCCGCGUGCGGGAUGACGGCCUUCGGGUUGUAAACCGCUUUCGCCUGUGACGAAGCGUGAGUGACGGUAAUGGGUAAAGAAGCACCGGCUAACUACGUGCCAGCAGCCGCGGUGAUACGUAGGGUGCGAGCGUUGUCCGGAUUUAUUGGGCGUAAAGGGCUCGUAGGUGGUUGAUCGCGUCGGAAGUGUAAUCUUGGGGCUUAACCCUGAGCGUGCUUUCGAUACGGGUUGACUUGAGGAAGGUAGGGGAGAAUGGAAUUCCUGGUGGAGCGGUGGAAUGCGCAGAUAUCAGGAGGAACACCAGUGGCGAAGGCGGUUCUCUGGGCCUUUCCUGACGCUGAGGAGCGAAAGCGUGGGGAGCGAACAGGCUUAGAUACCCUGGUAGUCCACGCUGUAAACGGUGGGUACUAGGUGUGGGGUCCAUUCCACGGGUUCCGUGCCGUAGCUAACGCUUUAAGUACCCCGCCUGGGGAGUACGGCCGCAAGGCUAAAACUCAAAGGAAUUGACGGGGCCCCGCACAAGCGGCGGAGCAUGCGGAUUAAUUCGAUGCAACGCGUAGAACCUUACCUGGGUUUGACAUGGAUCGGGAGUGCUCAGAGAUGGGUGUGCCUCUUUUGGGGUCGGUUCACAGGUGGUGCAUGGCUGUCGUCAGCUCGUGUCGUGAGAUGUUGGGUUAAGUCCCGCAACGAGCGCAACCCUUGUUCACUGUUGCCAGCACGUUAUGGUGGGGACUCAGUGGAGACCGCCGGGGUCAACUCGGAGGAAGGUGGGGAUGACGUCAAGUCAUCAUGCCCCUUAUGUCCAGGGCUUCACGCAUGCUACAAUGGCUGGUACAGAGAGUGGCGAGCCUGUGAGGGUGAGCGAAUCUCGGAAAGCCGGUCUCAGUUCGGAUUGGGGUCUGCAACUCGACCUCAUGAAGUCAGAGUCGCUAGUAAUCGCAGAUCAGCAACGCUGCGGUGAAUAAAUUCCCGGG